This 774-nucleotide ribosomal RNA is filed under the name uncultured Neocallimastigales. RNAcentral describes it as "partial large subunit ribosomal RNA". It matches the Rfam family "Eukaryotic large subunit ribosomal RNA", at positions 26 to 635 of the family's 3401-position model. Lineage: Eukaryota; Fungi; Neocallimastigomycota; Neocallimastigomycetes; Neocallimastigales. The record is from RNAcentral.
CGUCUAUAUACGUAUAGCAUAUCAAUAAGCGGAGGAAAAGAAACUAACAAGGAUUCCCCUAGUAACGGCGAGUGAAGCGGGAAGAGCUCAAAUUUGAAAUCUUAAAGGGUUUCCCUUUACGAAUUGUAGUUUAAAGAAGUGUUUUCUGUUGGAGUUUUGGUAAAAGUUCUUUGGAAUAGGACAUCAUAGAGGGUGAGAAUCCCGUAUUUGACCAUUUCUUCCAGCUGUGUGAUACACUUUCAAAGAGUCGGAUUGUUUGGGAAUGCAGUCCAAAAUGGGUGGUAAAUUUCAUCUAAAGCUAAAUAUUGGCGAGAGACCGAUAGCGAACAAGUACCGUGAGGGAAAGAUGAAAAGAACUUUGAAAAGAGAGUUAAACAGUACGUGAAAUUGUCAAAAGGGAAGCGUUUGACACCAGUGUUGUUUUCUCGAAAAUCAAUUAAAAAUGACCGGAUUUUGUGUUGUAUUGACUUUAUCAGCUUUCUGCACUUUUUUCUUGUCUUUUUUAAUGCACUUUUCGUUUAACAAGUCAACAUCAAUUUCUUUUGUUGUAAAAGGGUCAUUGGAAGAUGGCUUUCAUUUCGGUGAAAGUGUUUAUAGCCUUUGACUUCUGCAAUCGGAGAGAUUGAGGUCUGCAGCGUAGAUCCUUCGGGGUUAGAUACAUUUGUGCUAAGUUAUAGUUUUUCAUAGACAACAUGUUGACUAUGAUUAAUCAUGUAGCCUACUCGCUUAUGCUAUUUUACCUACGCUUAGGAUGUUGAUAUGCAUGACUGAUAU